RNAcentral lists this ribosomal RNA (291 nucleotides) under uncultured Subdoligranulum sp. RNAcentral's name for it is "partial 16S ribosomal RNA". It matches the Rfam family "Bacterial small subunit ribosomal RNA", at positions 59 to 339 of the family's 1533-position model. Lineage: Bacteria; Bacillati; Bacillota; Clostridia; Eubacteriales; Oscillospiraceae. The record is from RNAcentral.
AAGUCGAACGAAAAGACGGAAAGAGCUUGCUCUUUUCAGAAUUGAGUGGCAAACGGGUGAGUAACACGUAAACAACCUGCCUUCAGGAUGGGGACAACAGACGGAAACGACUGCUAAUACCGCAUAAGCCCACGGUACCGCAUGGUACUGAGGGAAAAGGAUUUAUUCGCUUUAGGAUGGACUCGCGUCCAAUUAGCUAGUUGGUGAGGUAACGGCCCACCAAGGCGACGAUUGGUAGCCGGACUGAGAGGUUGAACGGCCACAUUGGGACUGAGACACGGCCCAGACUCC